This 254-nucleotide ribosomal RNA is filed under the name uncultured prokaryote. RNAcentral describes it as "partial 16S ribosomal RNA". It matches the Rfam family "Bacterial small subunit ribosomal RNA", at positions 524 to 777 of the family's 1533-position model. The record is from RNAcentral.
UACGGAGGAUGCGAGCGUUAUCCGGAUUUAUUGGGUUUAAAGGGUGCGUAGGCGGCUUUUUAAGUCAGCGGUGAAAUUUUGCAGCUUAACUGUAACAGUGCCGUUGAUACUGGAGAGCUAGGAUUUGGUUGCUGUGGGUGGAAUGUGUGGUGUAGCGGUGAAAUGCUUAGAGAUCACACAGAAUAUCGAUUGCGAAGGCAGCUCACAAAGCCAAGAUUGACGCUGAGGCACGAAAGUGUGGGGAUCAAACAGGA